Molecule: long non-coding RNA, 2215 nt
Organism: Cyprinus carpio carpio
Lineage: Eukaryota; Metazoa; Chordata; Actinopteri; Cypriniformes; Cyprinidae
Source: Ensembl
AGUUUUGGAAGCAUAUUGACAUUGAAUGUUAUAGUAGCAGGCUUUGUCUUGUUAAUCAAUGAUUUAAUAAUCCAUAUAUAUACAGGUAUACACAUUUACACUGUGAAUGUAAAGCACAGAAACGAAGCAAUACCAACAAACAAGUUACAAUAAUACGCACCCUUUAGGAAAAAAAAAAAGUGUCUCUUUUGAACUUGUCCAGAGACAGAUUUUGUAUUUUUCUUCUGACUUAUCGAAUCUGUUCCAAAGAAAUGGUAAUGUAACUUGUGUAUGUUUUCAGUGUUUUCACAAAAUACUAAAUGUAAUAUGUAAUAUAUUAAUAUUUAAAACACUUAAAUGUAAUCAAGAAUACAAACCUUUAAGAUCAGUGGCAGGGUACAAAUAAUAAGUCAAGUUGCUGUAUGUCUUUUUUAAUGAGGGCCUAUCUCAUCUCAAAAACGAAUUAUAAAUUUGUUGUUUUCGCCCCGUGUGUGUAGUUUCGGUUUCGUUUUGAGGGUUUUUAUUUCGCUGCAUCGCCUCGAAUAAAUGACCUGCACAAAUUACUAACACAAACUGCACAAUGAACAAAACAUCUUCACAGCAUUACAGAAGACAAACCUUGUUGCAGUCCUGAUCGAAGCUCUUGUGUAUGUUUUGCAUAAUGUCAAGUCACCUUUAUUACAGCGAUGCAGAUUGUCAAAGCAGCUUUACAGUGAUAACUGCACAACAGCUCUAGAAGAAAAUUGUGUCAUUGUCCAGCUUAAAUAAAUUCAGUAUUGAUUCAUUCCGUUGUAGAAAUCAAUAGUUAUUUAUCUAUAUAUCAGCACUGGAGAAGACAGUGAUGUCAUGGUCCAGCUCAGUUAAGUUCGCAUACAAUUGGUGUCAAUGCGGGCAUAUCAAAACAACAUUAUUGAAUAUCUAGUGUCCCCAACUACUCAAGCCAAAGACGAUAGCGGCAAGGAACCAAAACUUCAACAGCUGACAAAAAAAAAAAAAAAGUGUUUGUAAUCUUACAUGUAAAUGUAUACCAACAAACAGACAUUAAAUUCUAUAGUUUCUAUAUCCCAGGAAUAGUCAGAGCAAGUCAAGUCAAAGAGCUUUCUUGCUUUGUUUAGCCCUUCAUAUUGUUAUAUUUAGUCGGGCUGAUUUGCUAUUCUUUCUAUUGUUUUAGUAAUUUCAUCCAUGACAUUCUCUAACUGAACGAUUUCUAUCCACAUCUGCUGGAGUGCCAUUCUAGCUGGCAUAACUCUGAUAAAUCGAGCUCCGAGCAAACAUGAUGUCUGAGACUUUAUCUGCGCAGCCAACACACUAAUGUCAUAUAUCUGUAUGAAACGCACUAAUUCACUGGCAGAUGAAAAAUAUUGACUUAAAUACCCAACAUCACGCUCUGGGUAACUGAGGUCUCUCAAUAUUUCAUUAACAUGCUGACUGAUCUCAUUCAUCUUGUCCAGCAUAGGGCUGAUUUUAUGCUGAAAUUCGCUCAGUUCAGCUUCAGUGUCUUGUAUUAUUUUUGCCUGCAGGCUCACGAUCUUCUUGUUCCAGAUUGUAUCACAGAGUGCAGCGCCUGAAACCACAGCUGCUCCCGCUCCUGCGAUAAGAGCAGAAAUGCCCUGAUGAACUGGAGCUAAAACUAACCCCAAACCCAUCAUCAACCCUCCAGCCACUUCUGCAUUUAAUGCGUGUGUAAUGACUCCAGUAGCACGUCUGAAAUCUUCUUCAAAUGUCCCGAUGAUAAGACACACUCUCUGCACGCGCUUCUGGGUUUGAGGGAAAUCUCUCAGAUAGAGUGCAACCAGUUCUUUUUCCAGUUGAUUGAAAACAGAUCUAGAGGGGGAAAAAACUAUUCAGUUGUAUUACAUGCAUUUCUAUUACCAAUCACUGCUGAUAUGCAGAUUAAACUAUUUAAUUAUAAUUGUUUGUGCAAUAUGUGUGUACACAAGUUUUGCUUAUAAAACAACUUUGAUUCAUAAUGCAGUAAUCACUUCUUUCUUUAAACACCCAAUAAUUCUGAUUCAAUGACUCUACAACACACCAUCAGAGAGAUGCAACGUUAGUGCAUGCGCUGAACACAAAUCAUAUGAUUCGUGAUGCACAUGUGCUUCAGCUGUCCCUCAGUUCCAACUGUACAUACUGACGAAAAAAAAACUGCAUGUCUUAAUUUUACCUUUCGCUGCUGUUAAUUCUCUUAUUUACACUCGAAACUUCGUGAUCCGUAAACUCAUCCAUCUGCGAUCAC